This 768-nucleotide ribosomal RNA is filed under the name uncultured bacterium. RNAcentral's name for it is "bacterial SSU rRNA". It matches the Rfam family "Bacterial small subunit ribosomal RNA", at positions 575 to 1343 of the family's 1533-position model. The record is from RNAcentral.
GCGGUCUGCCGCGUCUGCUGUGAAAACCCGAGGCUCAACCUCGGGCCUGCAGUGGGUACGGGCAGACUAGAGUGCGGUAGGGGAGAUUGGAAUUCCUGGUGUAGCGGUGGAAUGCGCAGAUAUCAGGAGGAACACCGAUGGCGAAGGCAGAUCUCUGGGCCGUAACUGACGCUGAGGAGCGAAAGGGUGGGGAGCAAACAGGCUUAGAUACCCUGGUAGUCCACCCCGUAAACGUUGGGAACUAGUUGUGGGGGCCUUUCCACGGUCUCCGUGACGCAGCUAACGCAUUAAGUUCCCCGCCUGGGGAGUACGGCCGCAAGGCUAAAACUCAAAGGAAUUGACGGGGACCCGCACAAGCGGCGGAGCAUGCGGAUUAAUUCGAUGCAACGCGAAGAACCUUACCAAGGCUUGACAUAUAGAGGAAAGAUCUGGAAACAGUUCCCCCGCAAGGUCUCUAUACAGGUGGUGCAUGGUUGUCGUCAGCUCGUGUCGUGAGAUGUUGGGUUAAGUCCCGCAACGAGCGCAACCCUCGUUCUAUGUUGCCAGCACGUAAUGGUGGGAACUCAUGGGAUACUGCCGGGGUCAACUCGGAGGAAGGUGGGGAUGACGUCAAAUCAUCAUGCCCCUUAUGUCUUGGGCUUCACGCAUGCUACAAUGGCCGGUACAAAGGGCUGCAAUACCGUGAGGUGGAGCGAAUCCCAAAAAGCCGGUCCCAGUUCGGAUUGAGGUCUGCAACUCGACCUCAUGAAGUCGGAGUCGCUAGUAAUC